RNAcentral lists this ribosomal RNA (497 nucleotides) under uncultured bacterium. RNAcentral's name for it is "partial 16S ribosomal RNA". It matches the Rfam family "Bacterial small subunit ribosomal RNA", at positions 28 to 507 of the family's 1533-position model. The record is from RNAcentral.
GAUGAACGCUGGCGGCGUGCCUAAUACAUGCAAGUCGAGCGAACGGACGAGAAGCUUGCUUUUCUGAUGUUAGCGGCGGACGGGUGAGUAACACGUGUAUAACCUACCUAUAAGACUGGGAUAACUUCGGGAAACCGGAGCUAAUACCGGAUAAUAUUUUGAACCGCAUGGUUGAAAAGUGAAAGACGGUCUUGCUGUCACUUAUAGAUGGAUCCGCGCUGCAUUAGCUAGUUGGUAAGGUAACGGCUUACCAAGGCAACGAUGCAUAGCCGACCUGAGAGGGUGAUCGGCCACACUGGAACUGAGACGCGCUCCAGACUCCUACGGGAGGCAGCAGUAGGGAAUCUUACGCAAUGGGCGAAAGCCUGACGGAGCAACGCCGCGUGAGUGAUGAAGGUCUUCGGAUCGUAAAACUCUGUUAUUAGGGAAGAACAUAUGUGUAAGUAACUGUGCACAUCUUGACGGUACCUAAUCAGAAAGCCACGGCUAACUACGUG